AGAAUAAUAUUCCGUUGCACGGAGGGUUCACCAUUUAUGUAGUCGUGAGUCUAUUGAAGGACACCUCGUUGCCUCUAGUUUUUGGAGAGGCGAACCUGCAGGAAUCUGUGACUGUGUGUGCACCUUCAAUUUGGUCCAUCGUUUGUGAUUGAAUUGCAUGUGGCCCUCCGUGAAAAAGCCAAGGUUAAAUUCACGGUGCCUACUGAGAUUGCACGUGUUUUCAUCUUUUCAGACCCUAGGCUUACCACACAUUUCCUGGGCAUGGAACUGACCGGCCAUCCAGUGCCCUGGUCUUCUAGCGACAGCAUUAAAACGUGUGCGUUCGCAGAUGGAAGAAGUUCACACCGGGCACAAGUUGUAACCAGAUCAUACAAGCAUAGUUUACGCUUUGUCUAAAUUCAAACUGACCCAACCUCCUAAGAAAUAGAAGGACUUCCUCUGGUUAUAGAGGUCUUAAGAACAGCUAGACCCAGGAUUCUGAGAUUUGGAGUCUUUUCAGUAAUGGGAAGAAGGCAGCAGAGGACAAAACUAAGGCAUUGUUAUAAUGUUCAUCUUCAGAGACCUUAUGGAUCAUUAAAAGCGCACGACACGGAGAUAGUAAGCCACACGGAAGAGCCUGGGCUUAGACGAUGGGUGAACAAUGGGAAAUCCGGGCAGUGUCCGCGUGAGCUUGGCGAGGAGACCCCCCAAGGAGGUCAUUCUCUCCUCAGUGUGCCGGCAACAGCAUCCAUCCGCCUCAGAGGCUGUGAGCUGUUCACCGUCCUUGUGAGACGUGGGCCUGAAGACACAGCUGGAGUUCUUGUCAUUGUGGAAUUCAGCCGGAUCAGAAAUCGGGUCAGGAUGUCUUCUCAUGCCAUUCCUAUUCAAUAUCAAACAGGAAGACCUAACCAGUACGACAAGGAAAGAACGAGAAAUACAGAGUAGAAAGAGUUUAUAAUUAACAUCUUGUGAAGUUCACUGGAAGACGAGGAGACUGGCUCUGCUACGUCUGGGAAUGGCGAGGCCUCCAAAUGCUGAUCACCGCAUGCAAUUAAGUAGAGAGACUGGCUGAAGAUCUGCAAGAUGUCCUUGGACAUUUGGAGCACGGAGAGUAUUUUCGGUCAAUUCUAUUUAGAGAAAAUCGGAUGCUUAAUGACUGUGGUUCAGAGGUCCACAAUAAGACUAAUGGACUGAAAACCCAAGAGAAGUGCUCAUGGCAGGAAGAGCAUCAAGAGGAUAUAAAGUUAUGGAAAAUAAAUGACGAUCCACGUUACCACCAAUAGGCUCUCCUAUGAACCCAACCACCUGUGCAAGGUCAUUACUGCAACAGAGAAUCAAGUCUGCUCCCGAGAGAAGAAGUGAGAGAGUGAAUACACACCUUGGAAGUGUCAGUGAUUAAUGCUCUCAACUGCACCGUGUCCCCUGAAGAGCCAAGGUGCGUAGGUCCGGCUGCCCUGUCUUCUGUGUCUCCCGUCGUGAACAGUUGGACGAUCCCACGGAGAAGCGGUGUCUCCUAGUCUGUUGAAGCAAUCAGUGAAGUGAAUGAGUAAUGAGUGAGAGCACAUUAGUGCCAUUGGUGGUUAAUGAACUCAAUCGUCUUUGCUGCGUGCCCCUGAUUUCCACAGCUUGCUAAAUAAAAGUUUAUUUAUGGUC
Molecule: long non-coding RNA, 1632 nt
Organism: Leopardus geoffroyi (Geoffroy's cat)
Lineage: Eukaryota; Metazoa; Chordata; Mammalia; Carnivora; Felidae
Exons: 8
Source: RefSeq, a predicted model, not a curated record